CAGUAUUCAGCUUUUCAAAAGAUGAGAUUAAAGAGGUUAAAGUAACUACAAACAAGGUAAAAACCUCAAAUUCAAUAUCCUCUUAUGUACACUGAUUUCCAUGUGUUAUUAAUAAUAUAUACUUAGUAAUUUGUACAGAUAAUCACUUUUCUAACAGUGUCUGCAUUCCCUUCUGAUCCUUGCUUUGUACUGAUUCAACCAAUUGACUUUAUUAAUGGAGAAAUCUGAAGAAAAUAAACCAUGAUUUGACUAAUUCGAUUGCAUGAAAAAGAUUGAAUUGUAAAUGUUUUGGUAAAGAGAAAUUGGGUUAGAUAACAGGGAAUAUAUUUGAGCAGAGAUAGGAAAUGUAAAAUACUGUAUUGAAGGCGAAAAUUUCAAUAUUGAAAUAGUUACCAAUUUACAUCUCUUCCAUUCUAUUUCCCAGACAAGAACAAGAAAGCUUUGAUUGAAAGGAUAAUUUCUACUACUGUAUUAAGAAAAUUCUGCAUGUAUUCACACAAAGUUGUUCAAAAUACAAUGCACAUACAGUAAGCACAAGACUUGACACCAGUUGAGACAUUGAAGUGGAAGCCACAAAGGUUGGUCUCUGGUGGGAACAAAAUAGGUGGAGAAGUUGAGAAGAUGCAUCCAUCCUAACUAUAUUUCUCCUUGUAUCUGAGAAAAAAGAACCUAAACAGGCCCCU
This 683-nucleotide long non-coding RNA is filed under the name Vigna radiata. RNAcentral describes it as "long non-coding RNA (VRAD_LNC004140)". The record is from RNAcentral. Lineage: Eukaryota; Viridiplantae; Streptophyta; Magnoliopsida; Fabales; Fabaceae.